Molecule: ribosomal RNA, 257 nt
Filed under: uncultured bacterium
Lineage: Bacteria
Description: partial 16S ribosomal RNA
Rfam family: Bacterial small subunit ribosomal RNA
Source: RNAcentral
UACGUAGGUGGCGAGCGUUGUCCGGAUUUAUUGGGUUUAAAGGGUGCGUAGGCGGCUUUGUAAGUCAGUGGUGAAAUACUCCAGCUUAACUGGAGGGGUGCCAUUGAUACUGCGGAGCUUGAGUACAGAUGAGGUAGGCGGAAUUGACGGUGUAGCGGUGAAAUGCAUAGAUAUCGUCAAGAACACCGAUAGCGAAGGCAGCUUACUGGGCUGUAACUGACGCUGAUGCACGAAAAGUGUGGGGGAUCAAAACAGGA